UACAGGGUGACAGCCCCGUACACAAAAAUGCACAUAUUGUGAGCUCGAUGAGUAGGGCGGGACACGUGGUAUCCUGUCUGAAUAUGGGGGGACCAUCCUCCAAGGCUAAAUACUCCUGACUGACCGAUAGUGAACCAGUACCGUGAGGGAAAGGCGAAAAGAACCCCGGCGAGGGGAGUGAAAAAGAACCUGAAACCGUGUACGUACAAGCAGUGGGAGCACGCUUAGGCGUGUGACUGCGUACCUUUUGUAUAAUGGGUCAGCGACUUAUAUUCUGUAGCAAGGUUAACCGAAUAGGGGAGCCGAAGGGAAACCGAGUCUUAACUGGGCGUUAAGUUGCAGGGUAUAGACCCGAAACCCGGUGAUCUAGCCAUGGGCAGGUUGAAGGUUGGGUAACACUAACUGGAGGACCGAACCGACUAAUGUUGAAAAAUUAGCGGAUGACUUGUGGCUGGGGGUGAAAGGCCAAUCAAACCGGGAGAUAGCUGGUUCUCCCCGAAAGCUAUUUAGGUAGCGCCUCGUGAAUUCAUCUCCGGGGGUAGAGCACUGUUUCGGCAAGGGGGUCAUCCCGACUUACCAACCCGAUGCAAACUGCGAAUACCGGAGAAUGUUAUCACGGGAGACACACGGCGGGUGCUAACGUCCGUCGUGAAGAGGGAAACAACCCAGACCGCCAGCUAAGGUCCCAAAGUCAUGGUUAAGUGGGAAACGAUGUGGGAAGGCCCAGACAGCCAGGAUGUUGGCUUAGAAGCAGCCAUCAUUUAAAGAAAGCGUAAUAGCUCACUGGUCGAGUCGGCCUGCGCGGAAGAUGUAACGGGGCUAAACCAUG
Molecule: ribosomal RNA, 829 nt
Filed under: Escherichia coli
Lineage: Bacteria; Pseudomonadati; Pseudomonadota; Gammaproteobacteria; Enterobacterales; Enterobacteriaceae
Description: partial 23S ribosomal RNA
Rfam family: Bacterial large subunit ribosomal RNA
Source: RNAcentral